RNAcentral lists this long non-coding RNA (726 nucleotides) under Malus domestica (apple). RNAcentral's name for it is "long non-coding RNA (MDOM_LNC011745)". Lineage: Eukaryota; Viridiplantae; Streptophyta; Magnoliopsida; Rosales; Rosaceae. The record is from RNAcentral.
AGAAGAAAAUUAAAGUUCUUAAUUCUUGAUAACAAACCAAAUUACAUGAUAGGUGUAAGUGAUGCAUGCCCAGCAGCUUUACAAACAAACAAGAACAACUUAAUUAAACAGACUGGCUACCUCGUAUGCAUCUCUUACAUCCCAUGUUUUACAACAUUAAGCAUGCAAAAAAGAGAAAAAUAAAAGGAGAACUAAUCGAGAGCAAAGACUUACAUAUUCAAGCACAAACAGGCCAAAGUUAAGUAAGUAAUAAAAGAAAAAUUAAAGACCUAAGUUGUUAAGGUAAACUCGGACCGCUACCCUCAAUUCCCCGCAAUGCAAUAAUACACGCUCUCCCGACUCUGCCCGACACUUUUGUGGUAGCAGGCUAGAGAUUCAGGACAGCGCGCAAUUGCAAAGCCUGUUUUGUAUGUUGUUCUUUCGUCAUUUUUUAUUUAUAUUUACAACACAACCCUUCUCCUCCACGCUGCUGCCGCUGCCAACCGGCACCAUCUUCACGCACUUCACCCAUGUAGACGAAAUCCCACUGGUGGCAGCUGGCCAUCAUGGUGGAUUUUGCGUCGUAAUUGCCAACGAGGCGAAAUUUUAUGGGUAGAAAGAAAGGAGGACUAGAAAAAGAGGGUGAUGAGUAUAGAGCUGAGGGGACAUGAUAGGUCGUAUAUAAAGACGAGACUGUAAGCUUUUUGUUGAAAUAUGAGUGUCACAGUUUUUUUUUUUUUUUUUUUG